UAUUUCGGCCUCCCUGCAUACAGUGUCUCUCAAUGAUGAUAAUCUCACAGACCUGUACUGAAUGACUGUGAUUGCAAUAUAUUAUUCUGAUGUGAGACACUCUAAAAAUUAUAUAUUUCACCGUCUCCUGCCGUCCUGAGCACGUUGCAUGGAGCGGUCACGUGUUAGCCGGCCAUGAGAAAUGCAUGCUAGCUCCGCGCGCUAAAGCUGUACUCUCCUUGUUUUCUAGAUGAAGAAAGAUCCAGAAAGUACUUGCUGCAAAGGUGUGUGGAGAGUGUGGCAGAGCUGUCCACAUGAAAAGGUGUUCAUGGCUGAUCAAAGAUGAGGAACAAGCAUGAAUGACUUUUGCAGGUUGGUCUGCACUGUUGACCCACUGACUAACCUCUCUAGAGCAGCUGUAAAGUGCACUGAGGUUUGAGGAGAAGCUUGUGGUGCGAGGCCAUGUGGAGACUUCAACAUGGGCUUUUUGAGUGGACGUUUGAAGAGGAAGUUAUCUAUUGAAGCCUCAUAUUCAAAGUGAGUCCACAGCAUUGUCGAGGUACCUGGUUUUGAAAGAUCCAUCUUUAACAUUGCUCAACUUGUCCCAGGAUCAAGCUGCCUGUCACACAAUGAGGCUGAGGUUCAACUUCAAUGCUGAACUGAGGACAAGGUCCUCUGUUUUUAGUCAACCUUGAUCUGCUGCUUUGCCUCAUGUGGUUUGCUGCUCUGACUACAGUAUGGGGAACAGCAUGCACACUGAGACUGCUGCAGGUCUGUCAUGAUCUCAUCACAUGAUCUUCCAUCUUGUGCUUGCUGUCGAACAGAGUUGAACCUGGACUGAAUUAUGGCAACUUGAUAAAGAUCCUUCAGCUGCUGUUCCUCUGGCUCUCGAGGUUUUGGAAAACAUCUGUACUGCAGAGUCAGCAAAAUGUAUCUGGUCAUUGAACAGAACAGUUGACUUUUCAUUGCAACCUUUCCUGCAUGAGAUUGUGUUUUGUUCAAUAAUUCAACUUUAUUUAAAGUUCAAUAAUAUCCUGAAAUAAAGAACUUUCACUACA
Molecule: long non-coding RNA, 1037 nt
Organism: Centropristis striata (black sea bass)
Lineage: Eukaryota; Metazoa; Chordata; Actinopteri; Perciformes; Serranidae
Exons: 13
Source: RefSeq, a predicted model, not a curated record